CUUGGUCAUUUAGAGGAAGGGCUUCAGAGCCGCCGGCUGUGUGGGCAGCUUAUGGAAGUAGUAGGCAGUGGCGGCGUAGGUGGGAAGCGCCAGAGCAUAGGCCUGGUCGACACCGGGAUUCCAGCGAGGAUCAUCAACAGAGUUGUCAAAGCUGAGAAUCUGCGACAGCAGCACAAUCCCAUUCAGAUCGACGUCGCGCAAAUCCGCAGCGAGAACGGCUGAUCGAGGCGUGCCGUAACUUUCUCCGAAGAGGUAUUUCGGCGAAUUCCAUCGAUCGUAUUUCGACAGGAACCGGUGGAUAAACCUGGCGAACGCAUGAGCGUCG
RNAcentral lists this unclassified non-coding RNA (325 nucleotides) under fungal sp. RNAcentral describes it as "partial internal transcribed spacer region". The record is from RNAcentral. Lineage: Eukaryota; Fungi.